CACGCCGCUCUAGCCCAACCUCCCAUCUCGGCUGCUUUUCUGCCCGCCAACGCGUUUUCUGAUUGGUGCGGGUGUGCGCCGUGCGUGAUGACGUCAAGAGGCGGCAGCGUUGCUAUAAGAUUGCGGCUGAGGCGCGUGAGCUCCUCUUUCUCAGUCACCGGGGGUUCGUGUGAGGCGCAGACGGAGAAGUGGGGCCAACAUGCCAGUGGCCCGGAGCUGGGUUUGUCGCAAAACGUAUGUGACCCCGCGGAGACCCUUCGAGAAAUCUCGCCUCGACCAAGAGUUGAAGCUGAUCGGCGAAUACGGGCUCCGGAACAAACGUGAGGUCUGGAGGGUCAAAUUUACCUUGGCCAAGAUCCGCAAGGCGGCCCGGGAGCUGCUGACGCUGGACGAGAAAGACCCGCGGCGUCUGUUUGAAGGCAAUGCCCUGCUGCGGCGACUCGUCCGCAUCGGGGUGCUGGAUGAGGGCAAGAUGAAGCUGGAUUACAUCCUGGGCCUGAAGAUCGAGGACUUCCUGGAGAGGCGCCUGCAGACCCAGGUCUUCAAGCUGGGCUUGGCCAAGUCCAUCCAUCAUGCCCGUGUGCUGAUCCGCCAGCGCCACAUCAGCCCUUGGAGGUGACAAAGAAAUGAGCUCACCUUGAGGGUGCAGACUGACCCCCUGCAAACAGCUCGUUGGGGGUUCUAGGGACAGCCUCAUCCCCCCCCCGUAGCCCAGCGCAAGGGUCACUGCGGCCUGAGCCGUACACCUUGUGAAGGCUUCUGCUGGGCACGCAGGCAGCUGGAGCUGGACAGGGUCCGAAAGCAGGUGGUGAACAUCCCGUCCUUCAUCGUCCGCCUGGACUCCCAGAAGCACAUUGACUUCUCCCUGCGCUCUCCCUACGGCGGCGGCCGCCCUGGCCGCGUGAAGAGGAAGAACGCCAAGAAGGGCCAGGGAGGGGCUGGAGCUGGUGACGACGAGGAGGA
Manis javanica (Malayan pangolin) is the source of this 963-nucleotide RNA transcript. It is a transcript of the gene named ribosomal protein S9, with no coding region annotated. NCBI's taxonomy places the organism in Eukaryota, Metazoa, Chordata, Mammalia, Pholidota, Manidae. The record is from RefSeq and is a predicted model, not a curated record.